UACGGGGGGGGCAAGCGUUGUUCGGAAUUACUGGGCGUAAAGGGCUCGUAGGCGGCCAACUAAGUCGGACGUGAAAUCCCUCGGCUUAACCGGGGAACUGCGUCCGAUACUGGAUGGCUUGAGUGUGGGAGAGGGAUGCGGAAUUCCAGGUGUAGCGGUGAAAUGCGUAGAUAUCUGGAGGAACACCGGUGGCGAAGGCGGCAUCCUGGACCAACACUGACACUGAGGAGCGAAAGCCAGGGGAGCAAACGGG
This 253-nucleotide ribosomal RNA is filed under the name uncultured bacterium. RNAcentral's name for it is "partial 16S ribosomal RNA". It matches the Rfam family "Bacterial small subunit ribosomal RNA", at positions 524 to 776 of the family's 1533-position model. The record is from RNAcentral.